Non-coding RNA from Tephrocybe sp. NHM501043, 80 nucleotides. Lineage: Eukaryota; Fungi; Basidiomycota; Agaricomycetes; Agaricales; Lyophyllaceae. The record is from the annotation of a GenBank genome assembly.
GGCCGUGUGGCGAAAUGGCAUCGCGUCUGACUACGAUACAGUGUAUCAGGAGAUUGCAGGUUCGACCCCUGUCUCGGUCA